AUACGGAGGAUGCAAGCGUUAUCCGGAUUUAUUGGGUUUAAAGGGUGCGUAGGCGGUUUGCUAAGCGGGAGGUGAAAUGCCGGCGCUCAACGUCGGAAGUGCCUCCCGAACUGGUGGACUGGAAUGACUCUGCCGUGGGAGGAAUGUGUAGUGUAGCGGUGAAAUGCUUAGAGAUUACACAGAACACCGAUUGCGAAGGCAUCUCACGAAGGGUAGAUAGACGCUGAGGCACGAAAGCGUGGGGAUCAAACAGGAUUAGAUACCCUGGUAGUCCACGCAGUAAACGAUGAUGGCUAACCGCUGGUUUUUUCGGAUCAGUGGCCAAGCGAAAGCGAUAAGCCAUCCACCUGGGGAGUACGACCGCAAGGUUGAAACUCAAAGGAAUUGACGGGG
RNAcentral lists this ribosomal RNA (393 nucleotides) under uncultured bacterium. RNAcentral describes it as "partial 16S ribosomal RNA". It matches the Rfam family "Bacterial small subunit ribosomal RNA", at positions 523 to 918 of the family's 1533-position model. The record is from RNAcentral.